ACUCCUACGGGAGGCAGCAGUAGGGAAUAUUGGUCAAUGGGCGAGAGCCUGAACCAGCCAUGCCGCGUGCAGGAAGACGGCUUUCUGAGUUGUAAACUGCUUUUGUACGGGAAGAAAAAGUCCUUGCGAGGAAAAUUGCCGGUACCGUACGAAUAAGCACCGGCUAACUCCGUGCCAGCAGCCGCGGUAAUACGGAGGGUGCAAGCGUUGUCCGGAUUUAUUGGGUUUAAAGGGUGCGUAGGCGGAUCUUUAAGUCAGUGGUGAAAUCCUGCAGCUUAACUGUAGAACUGCCAUUGAUACUGGAGGUCUUGAGUAUACUAGAGGUAGGCGGAAUUUAUGGUGUAGCGGUGAAAUGCAUAGAUACCAUAAAGAACACCAAUAGCGUAGGCAGCUUACUGGAGUAUAACUGACGCUGAGGCACGAAAGCAUGGGUAGCGAACAGGAUUAGAUACCCCUGGUAGACUGUCA
This 468-nucleotide ribosomal RNA is filed under the name uncultured bacterium. RNAcentral's name for it is "bacterial SSU rRNA". It matches the Rfam family "Bacterial small subunit ribosomal RNA", at positions 335 to 802 of the family's 1533-position model. The record is from RNAcentral.